AGCCGAAGAAGGACGCGACAAGCUGCGAAAAGACUGCGCCAAGGAGCACAUAUCCAUUGAAGCGCAGGUCUCCGAAUGAGGAAACUCGGCUGUCUGGAGGACAGUCACCGUAACGUGAAUACAUAGCGUUGCGGAGGGAACCCGGCGAACUGAAACAUCUUAGUAGCCGGAGGAAAAGAAAGAAAACUCGAUUUCUCAAGUAGCGGCGAGCGAACGAGAAAAAGCCCGGAUAAGAAGAGAGCAGACAGAUCAGUCAAAGGACAUGAGAAGGUCCCCCGAAGAGCGUUACAGGCGCGUAGACGAAGAUCCGUUUGUGAUCCUUAUCCCUAGUGAGUACCGCGGAACACGUGAAACUCUGCGGGAACAUGGGAGGACCACCUCCCAAGGCUAAAUACUACCCAGUGACCGAUAGCGGACAGUACCGUGAGGGAAAGGUGAAAAGAACCCCGGGAGGGGAGUGAAAUAGAAAACUGAAACCCUGUGCUUACAAGCAGCCGGAGCGCAAGUGACGGUGUGCUUUUUGUAGAACGGGC
This 533-nucleotide ribosomal RNA is filed under the name uncultured bacterium. Its description in RNAcentral is "bacterial LSU rRNA". It matches the Rfam family "Bacterial large subunit ribosomal RNA", at positions 44 to 620 of the family's 2925-position model. The record is from RNAcentral.